UAGCCGGUUUGGUCAGUCCUCCGGGAAAUCUGACAGCUCAACUGUUAGGCUUUCGGGGGAUACUGCCAGACUUGGAACCGGGAGAGGUAAGAGGUACUACAGGGGUAGGAGUGAAAUCUUGUAAUCCCUGUGGGACCACCUGUGGCGAAGGUGUCUUACCAGAACGGGUUCGACGGUGAGGGACGAAAGCUGGGGGCACGAACCGGAUUAGAUACCCGGGUAGUCCCAGCCGUAAACGAUGCUCGCUAGGUGUCAGGCAUGGCGCGACCGUGUCUGGUGCCGCAGGGAAGCCGUGAAGCGAGCCACCUGGGAAGUACGGCCGCAAGGCUGAAACUUAAAGGAAUUGGCGGGGGAGCACAACAACGGGUGGAGCCUGCGGUUUAAUUGGACUCAACGCCGGACAACUCACCGGGGGCGACAGUAAUAUGUAGGCCAAGCUGAAGACUUUGCCUGAAUCGCUGAGAGGAGGUGCAUGGCCGUCGCCAGUUCGUACUGUGAAGCAUCCUGUUAAGUCAGGCAACGAGCGAGACCCGUGCCCACUGUUACCAGCAUGUCCUUCGGGAUGAUGGGUACUCUGUGGGGACCGCCGGUGUCAAAUCGGAGGAAGGUGCGGGCCACGGU
Molecule: ribosomal RNA, 621 nt
Filed under: uncultured Methanosarcina sp.
Lineage: Archaea; Methanobacteriati; Methanobacteriota; Methanomicrobia; Methanosarcinales; Methanosarcinaceae
Description: bacterial SSU rRNA
Rfam family: Archaeal small subunit ribosomal RNA
Source: RNAcentral